AUGAGGCUUGGCUCCAAAAUUCGCCAGUUCAACAAUAACAAGAAUACCAACAAGGUUGGGGACAAUGGUAGCAGAACUCUUGGACUCAACAUGGCACACCAUACAAAAAUGGUUCUAGUAUUAGCUCAAGUGGUUCUUAAUCUACCAAUAUCAACAUGCUUAAAAACAUGUGUGUUCAGCAGCAAGAGUACCAACAAGAAAAGUCUCGUAGGCGUGAUAUGCCUUUGA
This is a non-coding RNA of Vicia faba (fava bean), 228 nucleotides long. The record is from the annotation of a GenBank genome assembly. NCBI's taxonomy places the organism in Eukaryota, Viridiplantae, Streptophyta, Magnoliopsida, Fabales, Fabaceae.